This 90-nucleotide transfer RNA is filed under the name Nitrospirota bacterium. RNAcentral's name for it is "Nitrospirae bacterium (sediment metagenome) tRNA-Ser". It matches the Rfam family "tRNA". From Rfam's summary of the family: Transfer RNA (tRNA) molecules are approximately 80 nucleotides in length. Their secondary structure includes four short double-helical elements and three loops (D, anti-codon, and T loops). The record is from RNAcentral. Lineage: Bacteria; Pseudomonadati; Nitrospirota.
GGAGAGGUUGCCGAGCGGUUUAAGGCGGCGGUCUCGAAAACCGUUGUGGGGGUGACCUCACCGGGGGUUCGAAUCCCCCCCUCUCCGCCA